UGGGGAAUUUUGCGCAAUGGGGGAAACCCUGACGCAGCAACGCCGCGUGGAGGAUGAAGGUCUUUGGAUUGUAAACUCCUGUCAGCAGGGAACAAGGCCUCAGGUAACCCCUGAGGAUUGAUUGUACCUGCAGAGGAAGCCCCGGCUAACUCUGUGCCAGCAGCCGCGGUAAUACAGAGGGGGCAAGCGUUAUUCGGAAUUAUUGGGCGUAAAGGGCGCGUAGGCGGUCGGACAAGUGGAAGGUGAAAUCCCCGGGCUUAACCUGGGAACUGCCCUCCAAACUGUUUGACUUGAGUCCGGGAGAGGUGAGUGGAAUUCCCAGUGUAGCGGUGAAAUGCGUAGAUAUUGGGAGGAACACCAGUGGCGAAGGCGGCUCACUGGACCGGAACUGACGCUGAGGCGCGAAAGCGUGGGGAGCAAAC
This 422-nucleotide ribosomal RNA is filed under the name uncultured bacterium. RNAcentral describes it as "bacterial SSU rRNA". It matches the Rfam family "Bacterial small subunit ribosomal RNA", at positions 355 to 773 of the family's 1533-position model. The record is from RNAcentral.